Molecule: long non-coding RNA, 391 nt
Organism: Brachypodium distachyon (stiff brome)
Lineage: Eukaryota; Viridiplantae; Streptophyta; Magnoliopsida; Poales; Poaceae
Exons: 3
Source: RefSeq, a predicted model, not a curated record
GACUAGGGCUAAGGAAGGUCAGGGGUUGUUAGCAAUUUGGACGGCACAUGUUGGGAUUUGUUAGAUUAUUGCACCCUUAGACGGAAAAUGUUCUCUUAUUACAUUGGAAAAUUUGGGUGCCUCACUUAAUUUGAGGAGUACGAGUAUCUACCAAACGGUACAAGCCAAAAUAUGAAGAUGCCUAAUGAAGGUGACAAUGCGAUUACCAAAUGCAUCAAAUGGUCUCGAGAAAGAUACAACACCUCAUAAGGAGAAUGGGGAAGAUUUGCCCACGGUGCCAGCAACUACUGCAAAUUUUUAUAUUAGCCUAAAGCCAUAGAAUAUAAUCUUUUACUCAAUUGAUAUACAAAUUUAUAGUUGUGAGAAGGAGUAAGAGUUGCUUGGACUGCGA